RNAcentral lists this ribosomal RNA (206 nucleotides) under Macromesus americanus. RNAcentral's name for it is "partial 28S ribosomal RNA". It matches the Rfam family "Eukaryotic large subunit ribosomal RNA", at positions 967 to 1163 of the family's 3401-position model. The record is from RNAcentral. Lineage: Eukaryota; Metazoa; Arthropoda; Insecta; Hymenoptera; Macromesidae.
UUUCCCUCAGGAUAGCUGGCACUCGCUUGAGCGAGUCUCAUCUGGUAAAGCGAAUGAUUAGAGGCCUUGGGGCCGAAACGACCUCAACCUAUUCUCAAACUUUAAAUGGGUGAGAUCUCUGGCUUGCUUGAACGUUGAAGCCACGAGAAAUAUGGAUCAGAGUGCCAAGUGGGCCAAUUUUGGUAAGCAGAACUGGCGCUGUGGGA